RNAcentral lists this ribosomal RNA (3823 nucleotides) under Candidatus Daviesbacteria bacterium RIFCSPLOWO2_02_FULL_38_18. RNAcentral describes it as "23S ribosomal RNA". It matches the Rfam family "Bacterial large subunit ribosomal RNA". Lineage: Bacteria; Candidatus Daviesiibacteriota. The record is from RNAcentral.
AAUACUCAACAUUAAUGCAUACGGUGGAUGCCUUGGUCGAAAGUACCGAUGAAGGACGUAACAGACUGCGAUAAGCUUCGGGGAGCUGCCAAUAAGCUUUGAUCCGAAGAUUUCCGAAUAAGUUAACUAGUCGCCUUUGGCGACAUUUCUUACUGAAUUCAUAGGUAAGAGAAGGGUACGCGCUGAACUGAAACAUCUAAUUAAGCGCAGGAAAAUAAAUCAACAGAGAUUCCCCAAGUAGCGGCGAGCGAAAAGGGAACAGCCUAAACUCGUGCUUCGCACGAGAAACUUCAAAAUUCAAGAUACAAGAUACAAAUAAAUCCAAAAUUUAAAAACCUUAAAUUUUAAAAAUUGGAAUUUAAAAAUUAUUUGUUUCUUGGUUAUUGUUUAUUGGAAUUUCUCACGCGGAGCGUGAGGGUUGCGGGAUCUGCGAUAUGGCAUCAGUUUUGGAUAGCUGAACAGAUUGGAAAGUCUGACCAAAGUAAGUGAUAGUCUUGUAAGCGAAAUCUAAAACUGGCCUAGCAGACACCCAAGUAACACAGGACACGUGUAAUCCUGUGUGAAUCUGGGACGACCUCGUUCUAAGGCUAAAUAUACUUUCGGACCGAUAGUGAACUAGUACCGUGAGGGAAAGGUGAAAAGAAGGGCGGAAUGCCCUGUGAAAUAGUACCUGAAACCGUAUGUUGACAAGCAGAGAAAGUGCUGAGAGUAAUCGAAGUACAAUCUCGUGCCUAUUGAAGAAUGAACCGGUGAGUUACCGUAUCCAUCUUGUUUAACCCCGCUAAGCGGGGGAAGGCGUAGUGAAAGCGAGGGUUAAUAGCCCGUUUGAUGGAUGCGAUAGACCCGAAACCGAGUGAGCUAACCAUGUCCAGGGUGAACUCCGACGAAAGUCGGAGGGAGGCCCGAACCCUUUUCUGUAGCAAUAGAUUGGGAUGAGGUGUGGUUAGAGGUGAUAUGCCAAACGAACUCGGAGAUAGCUGGUUCUCCUCGAAAUAUAUCUAGGUAUAGCCUGUCCGAUGACAACUGGGGGUAGAGCACUGGAUCGGUUUUCCGGCGCAAGCCGGAGGAUCGAAUCAAACUCCGAAUACCAGAUUGCAAUAUCGGAUGGAGUCAGUCCAAUCCGGCUAAGCGGAGAGGGCAAAAGGGAAACAUCCCAGAUCAUUAGCUAAGGUCCCUAAAUAAAGUUUAAGUGUUAAAGGAAGUCAAGUACCUUAUACAGCCAGGAAGUUGGCUUAGAAGCAGCCAUCUUUUAAAGAAAGCGUAACAGCUCGCUGGUCUAUUAUGGUAUUUGGCGCCGACAAUGAACCGGGGCUAAAAUUUUUACCGAAGCUAUGGAUACGUUCAUGCGCAAGCACUGAACGCAUGGUAGAGGAGCGUACCGCACUUAGUGAAGGCUCGCCGUAAGGCGGACUGGAAAGUGCGGCAGUGAGAAUGCCGGUAUGAGUAGCGAAAUUCCGAUGAAAAAUCGGAACGCCGAAUGCCCAAGGUUUCCGUUUCAAUGUUAAUCAGAGACGGGUUAAUCGGUCCUAAGGUCAGUCCGCCGCAAGGCGGGGUAGCCGAUGGAUAACAGGUUAAAAUUCCUGUAUUUGUUUAUGUUUGACAAGUUGAAACUCAAUUUAUUGAGUGUAGAGCCUAUAAGGGGGGACAAAGUGGAAUUUUCUAUUUUCAGGAAAAUCCCCGUGUAGGAAGCAUAAAUAAACCGUACCACAAACCGACACAGGUGGGCGAGUUGAGUAUACAAAGGCGAUCGGGAUAACUAUCCUUAAGGAACUCGGCAACGAAAGCUGGACGUAAGCUAUGCGAGAUGUCCUGUCCUGAGAGAAAUCGAAGGAUUACAACAAAAGACGCUGAGCGACUGUUUAACAAAAACACAGGUCCCUGCUAAUCCGAAAGGAGAUGUAUAGGGGCUGAUACCUGCCCAGUGCCAGUAAUUUACUGUCUCAAGUGACUCCCUCCGCAAGGUCGGGAUGAGCCUGGGGCCUAAGAUCUGGUGAACGGCAGCAGUAACUAUAACUGUUCCAUGGUAGCGAAGUUCCUUGUCUGGUGAGUUCAGACCCGCACGAAAGGUAAAACGACUUAGCGACUGUCUUGAGGAUAGACCCGGCGAAAUUGCAAUGGCUGUGAAGAUGCGGCCUUCCCAUACUUGGACAAAAAGACCCCGUGGAGCUUUACUGUAGCUUGACCCUGAUUUAAAGUUAAAAUUGUGUAGCGUAGGAGGGAGCUUCGGCAACAAUGAAACACCUCUCUUUUUUGAAUUUAAAUCUAACCAUAACCCUUAUAAAAACAGGGCAUGGAACAAGGUCUGGCGGGCAGUUUGACUGGGGCGGUCCCCUCCAAAAAAGUAACGGAGGGGUACAAAGGUACACUUAAGCCGUAAGGAAAUCGGCUGUUAAGCGUAAAGGUAUAAAGUGUGCUUGAUAGCAAGACUUACAAGUCGAGCUAGUGCGAAAGCAGGUCUUAAUGAUCCCCCGCCACCUCGAGGGAGGGGUGGGGCUUAUCGGAUAAAAGCUACCCCGGGGAUACAUGUGUGUUCCAGUCCUGAUGUAUAAUUACAUCGGGCUGAAAAAAUAUGGCUAAUAACGGUGAAACCUAAGAGUUGGUGGUUUGGUCUUACCAAAUACAUCGAGACAAUUUUUAGGCAAUACCGUGGGAAGUCGAAGGUAUGGACAAGAUUCAAAAAGCAGUAAUAAUAGGAUCAAUUUUAGGAGAUGGAUUCUUGCAGAAAACUGGUAAGAAUAAUGCUCGUUUAAGGCUAGAACAUAGCUUAAAACAAAAAGAUUAUUUACUCUGGAAGUCUCAAAUUUUAAGUAAUUUCUUUCAGAAAAAACCUGAUAUUUUGGAAAGAACAAAUCUAAAAUUCGGUAAAACUUAUCAGUAUAUUAGAAACCAAUCUUAUUCAGGUUUAGAAUUAGGAAAGUUUCAUAAACUUUUCUAUGUUGAUAACAGGAAAAUAAUUCCAAAUCAAAUCUCUAAACUUUUAGAAGAUCCAUUAUCGCUGGCAGUUUGGUUUAUGGAUGAUGGUUAUUAUUAUCAAAGAGAUAAAAUAGCUUAUAUAUACAUACCCAAAUAUGACCAGGAAUCAAUUAAUAAAUUAUUAAAUGCUUUGAAUUUAAAUUAUGGUUUAAUUCCUCAAUUUAAAAUUAAAAAAAGAGGGGAAUAUGUUUUAAUUUUUACUGUAAAAGAUACGGCAAAAUUAAUGCAAAUUAUCAAACCAUAUAUUAUAAAAUCUAUGUCCUAUAAACUACCUUUUGACCCCGUAUCGACUGAACCUAGUAGCAAGGAGUGAAUAUCCGUUUACUCCUGGGUGAGAUGUGAGGUUAAAUCUUGCAUAAUAUGCCGUAGUCCGACAUAAUGUCGGACAAGAUAUAGUCAGUACUUCGAGCAAUCGGAGAAUAUUUACGAACAGGCUAGUCUUGCCCUACAGUCCACAAGGACGGCAAGGUUCGGCACCUCGAUGUCGGCUCAUCACAGCGCGGGGCUGAAGCAGGUCCCAAGCGUCUGGCUGUUCGCCAGUUAAAGUGGUACGCGAGCUGGGUUCAGAGCGUCGUAAGACAGCUCGGACUCUAUCCAGUAUGGGCGUUUUGAUACUUGAGGGGAGUUAUUUCUAGUACGAGAGGACCGAAAUGAGGGAACCUCUAGUGUGCCUGUUGUAUGUUGAAUGCAACGCAGGGUAGCUACGUUCCUAACUGAUAAGCGCUGAAAGCAUCUAAGCACGAAGCAGGCCCUAAGAUGAGGUAUCUUUUAAGACCCCCCGUAGACUACGGGGUUAAUAGGUUGGCGGUGUAAGCACUGUAAGGUGUUUAGCCUACCAAUACUAAUGGUC